This 324-nucleotide ribosomal RNA is filed under the name uncultured bacterium. RNAcentral's name for it is "bacterial SSU rRNA". It matches the Rfam family "Bacterial small subunit ribosomal RNA", at positions 471 to 793 of the family's 1533-position model. The record is from RNAcentral.
GACGUUUAGCUGCAGAAGAAGCACCGGCUAACUCCGUGCCAGCAGCCGCGGUAAUACGGAGGGUGCGAGCGUUAAUCGGAAUUACUGGGCGUAAAGCGCAUGCAGGUGGUUUGUUAAGUCAGAUGUGAAAGCCCGGGGCUCAACCUCGGAAUUGCAUUUGAAACUGGCAAACUAGAGUACUGUAGAGGGGGUAGAAUUUCAGGUGUAGCGGUGAAAUGCGUAGAGAUCUGAAGGAAUACCGGUGGCGAAGGCGGCCCCCUGGACAGAUACUGACACUCAGAUGCGAAAGCGUGGGGAGCAAACAGGAUUAGAUACCCUCGGUAG